GGAUGAUCUGGCUGCAGCAUUUAUCACCCCAUUGAUCACUAGGGUUGAUUGGGUGAUCUCAGAGCUCCAUGUUCUUCCCUCCUGAAGCUAUAUGUUCAGUAGAAGAGAACAACUAUCCCAGAUAGAAAGAGGCUACUGAUUAUUUCUUUUG
This 151-nucleotide small nuclear RNA is filed under the name Ophiophagus hannah (king cobra). RNAcentral's name for it is "7SK RNA". It matches the Rfam family "7SK RNA", at positions 1 to 188 of the family's 331-position model. Rfam says of the family: 7SK was discovered as an abundant small nuclear RNA in the mid-70s but a possible function has only recently been suggested. Two independent studies have found that 7SK RNA binds the CDK9/cyclin T complex (known as elongation factor P-TEFb). P-TEFb activates transcription by phosphorylating the C-terminal domain of RNA polymerase II. Lineage: Eukaryota; Metazoa; Chordata; Lepidosauria; Squamata; Elapidae. The record is from Rfam by way of RNAcentral.